GGGGAAUAUUGGGCAAUGGACGCAAGUCUGACCCAGCAACGCCGCGUGAAGGAAGAAGGCUUUCGGGUUGUAAACUUCUUUUAAGGGGGAAGAGUAGAAGACGGUACCCCUUGAAUAAGCCACGGCUAACUACGUGCCAGCAGCCGCGGUAAUACGUAGGGGACAAGCGUUGUCCGGAUUUACUGGGCGUAAAGGGCACGCAGGCGGUUUUUUAAGUCAGAUGUGAAAGGUACCGGCUCAACCGGUGACAUGCAUUUGAAACUGAAAGACUUGAGUAUUGGAGAGGCAAGUGGAAUUCCUAGUGUAGCGGUGAAAUGCGUAGAUAUUAGGAGGAACACCGGUGGCGAAGGCGGCUUGCUGGACAAAUACUGACGCUGAGGUGCGAAAGCGUGGGGAGCAAACA
RNAcentral lists this ribosomal RNA (403 nucleotides) under uncultured Eubacteriales bacterium. RNAcentral describes it as "bacterial SSU rRNA". It matches the Rfam family "Bacterial small subunit ribosomal RNA", at positions 356 to 774 of the family's 1533-position model. Lineage: Bacteria; Bacillati; Bacillota; Clostridia; Eubacteriales. The record is from RNAcentral.